CGGGAGAGCGCAUGAGCAACACAUGCUACCAGCAAGAGCGCACAUCACAGAGCACGAAGUUUGACCAACCCUGUCUCUUCUAACGAGAACGACGUGUUGUCACCCCUCAAGAACUCAGCAUGGCCAGCUGUAUCAGGGAAGUGCUAUUGGCUAUCCCCGCUGUGCAUACAGAACGGACAUCUAUUGCCUCAGUGUGUUGCCGGAGUCCAAGAGCGAUUUGAGUUGAGGAAAUCUGUGCUGGGUUCUGAUAUGGUAAUGAUGAUCUACACCAGUAAUCUGAGGAGCGACAAGGAGGAAACCUGUGGGAUUAACACUAAUAAAGCACUCAUGUCCCUGUCAAGUGCUACAGGGUGACCAAACUCCUGCUAUUAUCCACUUCAUAGCCCUUAUCAUCUCUCACUAUUGCUCUCAAUGCUUAUGUAUACAUAGGAACUGUGUUAUAGAGUAACCCUGCCUUACAGUAGCUUGCUAGCUCCUAACAUGAUGAAAAUGUCACGCUGUGGUGGGAUUCAAUUUUGAGUGCCAGUUCAGAUGUGGCCACACACUGCGUUUUGAAUGUCUAACAUCCUUUAUUCCUUCGAACAGAAGCUGGCAUCUCCGAAAAGGCCGUAGCUGCCAGCAGCUGCACGUACUGUUUCCAUCAGCCGUAUCUGCAUCUACAGUUAUUUGAAUGGAAGAGAACAGAGCCGUCGGUCAUGGAACUCUAACCUCGAUUGGGAAACAAACACAGGGUUUCGAUUUCCUGCUGAGAUCGCUCUUCAAAUAUUCAUCGUCCCUAUAUUCUGGAGCCAUUUGAUAAUUGACACUGGGACAGGUUUUAUGAUCUCCUCUCUUCAUCUGAGCGUGUGGAGUACCAUUACAGAUAGCCCUUUAACCUCUCAAACCGGACCUAUUAAACUUGCCUUUGUGUUGUGGCACAAUGCCUUCUUGGACUAGAAUCUGCUGACAGUUAGGAGAUAUUCUGUUAAACUCUCCCUUUCUUCUCUAAAUGUGUUUGGGCUGCUUUUCUUUGAGAAAUAUUAUUCAGAGAUGCUUGAGGAUUUCCCUAGCCCAGAGAUCAGUUUUACUGACUCUCUGACUUUACCAACAUCCUGUGUUUGGGGACUUCACUUCCUUGCUUAAUCCAUUCUAUAGUGCUCAAUUUAUGUCUUCUGUUGUGAAUUGGAUCUGGACAGUUAGCAUGUAUUGUAUAGCCCAGCUACCAGUUUUACCGGACAUUUAGCAUUUUUAGUCCUCAACUGCCCUUUCACUUAAUUUCAUUUCAAAGACUUUGUAACUUUGUGGCCAGAGAUAUGAAAAGAGGGACGUUCCGGUCCCAGUCUGUCACCACGUCUUCUUAUCACAGACUGAAAUGUAUUGUAUUAUAUCCUGUCUUAGAGUUGCUCUAACCUUUACCAACCUUUCCUUUGGACAUUUUUAGUUUUGACUUUGCGGACUCUGUAUUGUUGGUGCUCUGCAGAGCGUGUAAUAUAUGUGUUGAUAUUCCCUGAUCCCCACAGCGGACCAGAACAGAGGAAAGUGCUGUCCUCUGACUUUGGGAGUGCUGACAUCUUCAUAUUCCUGCCCACCCUGCCACCCGCUCCCUCCUAGAUACCGCUGAUUGAUGUUCGUCUGCCUGGCCGACUAUCGUCCGCUUUCCUUCAUGAAUACAGACGUGAAUCACAGGGAUUAGCAUUCAGCUCUUCUUCUCUCGCCCCGCCUCCGGCCGCCUCUUCCUCAGUGGUCUCUCAGCUCCAUACACACGUCUGGCAGUUUCGCUGACGUGGGGGGUCUGUGAUGAGUGGCUGGGGGCCCCGGCAGAGGGAGCCCUGUCGGACGCUACCUCACUCACUGCCACUUUGGAAAGCCCUCGUCUCACUGAAUAUUUCAUGGUGUGAUUUGGGAUGUAAAUUAAAGAUGUAUUCCAGGUGGGUUUGACUGGACUGAGUCUUAUUCUCUGUGACUGCUGGGGAGAGUGGGUGUUCUAAGGCUGCCCUUCACCCUGGCAGUCUCGUAGGUACGCAAGGUUGGAGUGACGGAGUCUUUUCUGGGUCUUGUUGUUCUGCUUUUUCACAGUGAAAUUGAGAUGAAUAGAAACUCAGAAUGGAUGAAGUGAGAGAAAGAAAGAAUUUGAGUGUUAGUGUCUAUGUGUGUGUGUGUGUGUUGAUUUACUGUAGGCUGUGUGUGUGUGUGUGUGUGUGCCAAUGAGAGACUUCUAAAUUUGUAGUGCCUGCAUCCCACCCUCUUAGAGGUGGCUGUUUUCUCUGCCAGCAUGGAGUAACCUCAAAGAGUGUAAUAUUACUUCAUCAGCAGCAUGGGCUCUUUAUGGAAGGCCACAGGCUCCCUGCGGUGCGACACACACUGACGGCUCAGACAAUCAGUAAUGUUACAUAAGCAUCCUGGAGUGGAAGCAGCCGUUCUGAACUAGAUUAUCUCCUCCGCUGGGUUGUAGUGUGUUGCUGUCCUCUCUCACCAGAUGACCCUGAGUCUAGCACAACACCAGCCCAGCACGGGAUAUGUUCAUGUUGUAAUACAUUUGUCUCAUAACUGAUCCAAACACUAAUUGAAAUUGACUGAUCAUGUUUAUGCUUCGAGUAGUCUGCAUGAUGCAUCUGUGGGAUAACAGAGUGGACUUUGUAAAAGGAAAACGCUUAGCCAUUGUGCUCCUGUCUAGAACAGAUUUGUCCUCCUCUCUCUGCCUGGGCUGUAUCACGGUGAGGAAUGUCUUCCAGGGAACCCACAGACAAUUUAUAACCUCCAAAGGCCACCCUUUCCUCACUAGAAUAGCCUGAAUGGCUUAUACUUCAACAUUAUGAGGGUGAAUAGGAGAAAAGUACAUUUAUAUAUGUGAGUCGACAUGUCUGGAGAAUGUAUGAAUAUACAAUUCAUCUCGCUGUCGUUUUAUUCGCUGCGUUGUUUUAAAAGGUCAGCAGUCUCAAAGUGCUCCA
RNA transcript from Salvelinus fontinalis (brook trout), 2927 nucleotides. It is a transcript of the gene named cortexin-1-like, with no coding region annotated. The record is from RefSeq and is a predicted model, not a curated record. The transcript is spliced from 3 exons. NCBI's taxonomy places the organism in Eukaryota, Metazoa, Chordata, Actinopteri, Salmoniformes, Salmonidae.